CAUGUUGAGCUUUUCAAAUGAGAUAUACUAUGGAAUAGGGCAGAGCCCAGCGCCGAAUCCCACCCCGCCCCGGUGGGACGCGGGAAAUUUGGCAUACGGAAGACCCACUCCCCGUCCCCUCUGUGGGGACCCCAAGUCCUUCUGAGGCCCAUCCCGUGGAUGGUAUGAGGCCGGUAGCAGCCCUGGCCCGCCGGUCUGGGUCUUCCCAGAGUCAGGGUGCUUGGGAAUGCACCCCAAAGUGGGUGGUAAUCUCCAUCUAAGGCUAAAUACGGCAGGAGACCAAUAGUCAACAAGUACUAUAAGGGAAAGUUGAAAAGAACUUUAAAGAAAGAGUUCAAGAGGGCGUGAGACCCUUAAGAGGUAAACGGGGGCCGCGAACUCCGCCAGGAGGAUUCAACCCGCCUGCAUCAUGG
This 413-nucleotide non-coding RNA is filed under the name Cavia porcellus (domestic guinea pig). RNAcentral's name for it is "Eukaryotic large subunit ribosomal RNA". It matches the Rfam family "Eukaryotic large subunit ribosomal RNA", at positions 1 to 470 of the family's 3401-position model. Lineage: Eukaryota; Metazoa; Chordata; Mammalia; Rodentia; Caviidae. The record is from Rfam by way of RNAcentral.